RNAcentral lists this ribosomal RNA (460 nucleotides) under uncultured bacterium. Its description in RNAcentral is "partial 16S ribosomal RNA". It matches the Rfam family "Bacterial small subunit ribosomal RNA", at positions 338 to 795 of the family's 1533-position model. The record is from RNAcentral.
CCUACGGGUGGCAGCAGUGAGGAAUAUUGGUCAAUGGGCGCGAGCCUGAACCAGCCAAGUCGCGUGAGGGAUGACUGCCCUACGGGUUGUAAACCUCUUUUAUAAGGGAAUAAAGUGCGGCACGUGUGCCUUUUUGUAUGUACUUUAUGAAUAAGAAUCGGCUAACUCCGUGCCAGCAGCCGCGGUAAUACGGAGGAUCCGAGCGUUAUCCGGAUUUAUUGGGUUUAAAGGGAGCGUAGGUGGGUUGUUAAGUCAGUUGUGAAAGUUUGCGGCUCAACCGUAAAAUUGCAAUUGAUACUGGGAGUCUUGAGUACAGUUGAGGUAGGCGGAAUGCGUGGUGUAGCGGUGAAAUGCUUAGAUAUCACGAAGAACCCCGAUUGCGAAGGCAGCUUACUAAUCCGCCACUGACAUUGAUGCUCGAAAGUGUGGGUAUCAAACAGGAUUAGAUACCCUUGUAGUC